Molecule: long non-coding RNA, 237 nt
Filed under: Hordeum vulgare
Lineage: Eukaryota; Viridiplantae; Streptophyta; Magnoliopsida; Poales; Poaceae
Description: long non-coding RNA (HVUL_LNC003627)
Source: RNAcentral
AUGGGGUCUGUGAUGGGCUAGGCCUGUCAACUAGGACAUGGCGGGCGCGUCCAGGCGUGGCCAGACUACCGCAUAUCUGUCCUAGAUUUGGGUUAUAUAUGAGGGGACCCGGACAGCCCGGAUGUUUCAGGUUGAUUUGAGAUAUUCAGGUGGGUCGAUUAUUUGUGACCGAUCAGCCUGCCCGCAUGUGUAAGAUGGGUUUGGUUGGUCGAUAUAGAUGCUCUAAAAUUGCUUUAU